Platichthys flesus (European flounder) is the source of this 1226-nucleotide long non-coding RNA. RefSeq lists it as uncharacterized. The record is from RefSeq and is a predicted model, not a curated record. The transcript is spliced from 2 exons. Lineage: Eukaryota; Metazoa; Chordata; Actinopteri; Pleuronectiformes; Pleuronectidae.
AAUAGUUAUAUUUAUGGCCACUUUUAAAUAUAAUAUAUAUUACUAUUGUAUUAAUAUAUCAAUAUAAUAGUAUUUAAUAUAUGCAUAUUAAUUUAUUAAUACAAAUAUACAUAUACACAUACAAAUAUAGCCGGGUGUUUGAGUAUGAUGGUACAUGUGUGAGAGUAUACUGGUGUGUGUGUGUGAGGCCAAGUAUGAAUUAUCUGUCACAGCCUCGAGUCACGAGCCAGUGUGAACUUCAGUCAGAGGAAAUCAACUGAUCACUGAAAUUAUCUGCAGCAGAAUAACAGCUGUUAAUAACAUGUAGCCCCCCCAUUACAUUAUCACUGUUCUUAAUCAUGUGACUCUAAAGAAGAAACCUCUGAAAGCGUACCAUCAUUCAUUUGACCCCAAAAGAACGUGAUCAGAGAAAAAAAUGAAUCUGAAAAAAAGUCAGCCACAUUAAGCAGCUCACAUUAAACGGUGUCAGGGAUGAAAUACAUUUGUAGUCCAGGUUCAACAAACCCAGCUGUUGUCAUGGUGUUUCUUUCCUCUCACAGGUCUGGGAGCUGUUUAAAGAUUCAGUGUGAAGUUGGUAAAAUGUGGAGGUGUCAUCCAGGCUGUUAACGGAGCUGAUGCAGAGGACGAGUGUUGAAGCAGAACUGGAAUCAUGUAUCCGGCCCCGUCUGCGUGAGCGAAUGAAACAGCUUCAUGACUCAGUGUGCCGCCAUGUUGCUCUUGUUCACGAGCUGCGACCCAACACCGCCGCAGUGUUCCACCUCGCAUUUCCACGCAGGUGCUCGGAUGUCAGGACCUGGACGCUUUGACGUUUGCUCCAUUUACAUUUCAGGGAGAGGAUCCUGUCAUGCAGAAUGACCUGCAGUCUGUGAGGAGGGUUUUACUGGGCUAGUGUUAGACUCCAACAGGACACGUCUUUCUCAUGUCAUGAUAUACAGCAGUUUCAACCUCAGUAUCUUGGUUAAAUAGCUAACUGUGGUUUCUCCCCCUUCAAUAUUGAGUCAAUGUCGUAUUGUUAUAAAGUAUAACACUGUGGGACAGUUUUCAGGUUUUCACUGAGUGUUCUCCUUGUUAAAUGCAAUUAUUAUUCAUGACAUUUAAGAAAAGGUCGAUAGCAGCCGUGAUGAUCGGAGAGAGAAUUUCAUUCAUAUUUAUAAUUGGUGCUUUGGAACAUAUUGAACAAUGUAAAAUGUUUGCAUUACCAUAAAUAAAACAUUUGGAGCACAGAC